GUCGAGCGGGCAUUUUCGGAUGUCAGCGGCAGACGGGUGAGUAACACGUGGGAACGUACCCUUCGGUUCGGAACAACUCUGGGAAACUGGAGCUAAUACCGGAUACGCCCUUNUGGGGAAAGGUUUACUGCCGAAGGAUCGGCCCGCGUCUGAUUAGCUAGUUGGUGGGGUAACGGCCUACCAAGGCGACGAUCAGUAGCUGGUCUGAGAGGAUGAUCAGCCACACUGGGACUGAGACACGGCCCAGACUCCUACGGGAGGCAGCAGUGGGGAAUAUUGGACAAUGGGCGCAAGCCUGAUCCAGCCAUGCCGCGUGAGUGAUGAAGGCCUUAGGGUUGUAAAGCUCUUUUGUCCGGGACGAUAAUGACGGUACCGGAAGAAUAAGCCCCGGCUAACUUCGUGCCAGCAGCCGCGGUAAUACNAAGGGGGCUAGCGUUGCUCGGAAUCACUGGGCGUAAAGGGCGCGUAGGCGGCCAUUCAAGUCGGGGGUGAAAGCCUGUGGCUCAACCACANAAUUGCCUUCGAUACUGUUUGGCUUGAGUAUGGNAGAGGUUGGUGGAACUGCNA
Molecule: ribosomal RNA, 567 nt
Filed under: bacterium V01
Lineage: Bacteria
Description: bacterial SSU rRNA
Rfam family: Bacterial small subunit ribosomal RNA
Source: RNAcentral